Molecule: ribosomal RNA, 273 nt
Filed under: uncultured bacterium
Lineage: Bacteria
Description: partial 16S ribosomal RNA
Rfam family: Bacterial small subunit ribosomal RNA
Source: RNAcentral
UACGGAGGGUGCAAGCGUUAUCCGGAUUCACUGGGUUUAAAGGGUGUGUAGGCGGGCGUUUAAGUCAGUGGUGAAAUCUCCAGGCUCAACCUGGAAACUGCCAUUGAUACUAUUCGUCUUGAAUAUCGUUGAGGUAGGCGGAAUAUAUCAUGUAGCGGUGAAAUGCUUAGAUAUGAUAUAGAACACCGAUUGCGAAGGCAGCUUGCUAAACGAUGAUUGACGCUGAGGCACGAAAGCGUGGGGAUCAAACAGGAUUAGAAACCCGAGUAGUCC